Molecule: long non-coding RNA, 800 nt
Filed under: Mus musculus (house mouse)
Lineage: Eukaryota; Metazoa; Chordata; Mammalia; Rodentia; Muridae
Description: long non-coding RNA chr2:156551384-156552184
Source: RNAcentral
CUUGAGCUAUGCCCUCGAAACUGUGCUCAGCAAGCAGUUCCCUGGCAACCCCCAGGAUGUGCUUGGUAAGAACGAACUAGGCUUUGGGGAAGGGUACUAGUGGGGGUACUUGGCAUACUUAGAAUAGAGGGCUUAUCUUGGGUUAUCUAACCCAGUGUUCUUAAAGGGGCAGAAGGUGGACGGAUUAGUCGUCAUCAAAAGGCAUUUCACCCUUAGCCUAGAGCUUUUAAGUCAAGAGAUCUGUAUCGGGACUAGCUGUCUGUCUGGCUUAUCUAAUAAUUUGAGCAUCUUUGAUGAGCUUGUGCACAUAAUCCCAUGUUUGCUAAUUGCUGACACAGCCCACCCUUGCAGAGAGAAAGGAUUUGACUAAUAGAGCAGUCACAUUGAGAUCCGAGUCCAAGGCUCCCGGUUGCUAGGUCCAAUCUGUCUGUGUUAUUAAAGCCUCCACCUGACACCUCAGUUUGCUUUUGAGUUCUUAAAGUGUUUCUCUCUUCACUGGCUUAGAACAGGACUUUUAUUUUUGUUUAACUUGUUACAGUUUUAUCACUACUUGAGCUCUUUUUUUUGUUUGUUUGUUUUUUGUUUUUUCAAGACAGGGUUUCUCUGCUAGGUUUCUUGCUGUCCUGGAACUCACUUUAUAGACCAGGCUGGCCUCAAACUCAGAAAUCCACCUGUCUCUGCCUCCCAAGUGCUGGGAUUAAAGGCUUGUGCCACCACCACUCAGCCCUCUACUUGCACUCUUAAUUUUAAAAUAUGUACUUAUCACAGAAUAUAAAUAAAGUUCACUAAGUUCUAUCCCC